UACGGAGGGUGCAAGCGUUAUCCGGAUUCACUGGGUUUAAAGGGUGCGUAGGUGGGUCUGAAAGUCAGUGGUGAAAUCUCCGUGCUUAACAUGGAAACUGCCAUUGAUACUCUGGAUCUUGAAUUUUCUGGAGGUUAGCGGAAUAUGUCAUGUAGCGGUGAAAUGCUUAGAUAUGACAUAGAACACCAAUUGCGAAGGCAGCUAACUACGGGAACAUUGACACUGAGGCACGAAAGCGUGGGGAUCAAAC
Molecule: ribosomal RNA, 250 nt
Filed under: uncultured prokaryote
Description: partial 16S ribosomal RNA
Rfam family: Bacterial small subunit ribosomal RNA
Source: RNAcentral